UACGUAGGGAGCAAGCGUUAUCCGGAUUUAUUGGGUGUAAAGGGUGCGUAGACGGAGAAGCAAGUUAGUUGUGAAAUCCCUCGGCUUAACUGAGGAACUGCAACUAAAACUACUUCCCUUGAGUACUGGAGAGGAAAGUGGGAUUCCUAGUGUAGCGGUGAAAUGCGUAGAUAUUAGGAGGAACACCAGUGGCGAAGGCGACUUUCUGGACAGUAACUGACGUUGAGGCACGAAAGUGUGGGGAGCAAACAGG
This 253-nucleotide ribosomal RNA is filed under the name uncultured bacterium. RNAcentral describes it as "partial 16S ribosomal RNA". It matches the Rfam family "Bacterial small subunit ribosomal RNA", at positions 524 to 776 of the family's 1533-position model. The record is from RNAcentral.